RNAcentral lists this long non-coding RNA (1266 nucleotides) under Oreochromis niloticus (Nile tilapia). Its description in RNAcentral is "lncRNA (ENSONIG00000036972.1)". The record is from RNAcentral. Lineage: Eukaryota; Metazoa; Chordata; Actinopteri; Cichliformes; Cichlidae.
AUGAUCACCUUGUCCAGCAUGUGCCAUGCGGUUAUAGAAGAAAUAAGCGCCUUGGUCCUGGAGGUUGUAGAACCUCAGGUUCUUGCCAAGGGGCACAAUCAUGCAAGUGGAGAUAAGGUAAGUUUGCAGGAUGGGUGCAGCUGCUGCAGAGUAACAGAAAAUAAUAUUCAAGCCAGCUUCAGAAACACCCUUCAUCACUGUUUUGGUGAAGCCCUAUCCAUGGCACAAGGUAAGUCCUACAACUCGGAUAUAUUAGUAAAGCUGUUUUCAGCAGAAAUUACUAAAAAAGUCAACACGUCGCUGGCUCGUAUCACAGGGCCAGCUCCUACCCCAAAAACUCAUGACUCAGUGACAGGUAUGAGCAUUAUACAAAUGGUGUAUAAUGUGACUGAGAUUUUUGAAUGCAUCUUGAAUAUCAGCCGAAAAAUCACAGACAGGGCAUCUGACAGCAUGACAUGCUCAGACUCUAAUUGCAAGCAGAUUUGCUGUCUAGAUGUGGAGGAGGAGGAAGAUGCAGAAAUCCCACAAAUAAGUGACUGUUCCUUAGAGAAUUCACUGUGCAUGGAUAAUCUGAGUCCUCCUCCAACUCCAGAGCUCCCUAAGUAUUCAGAAACAUUUGUCCCUUCAGCAUUGAUUUUAGCCUACCAGGAGAAUUCUUCACCAAGUCUGGAGUCUCCUGACUGUCCAGUCAACAUGACCUUUCUUACUGUGCUUCUUGCUAAGUUAGUCGACCAUAUUGCAUCAAAAACCAGAAGAUCCAUACUAAACGUGGACCUGGUUGCAUUAUUGGGUGGUGUAACAAUGAGGGCUGAAAAAGAACUGGAUUCCAUUCCCCCACCAAGUGUUGAAAACCUGCACAUCCCCAUCUAUAAAAAGCUGUGCAAGGUGUUUGGAUCCAAAUACUUGUUGCAGGCUGCCAUGGAAUCUGGUGACGAAGCAUUUGAGAUUGCUGUUUCAGAGGUUUUAGUGUCACAGCUCCAGAAAUCUUUAGUAAGGUCAAAGAAUUCUGGGACCAUAUGGAGAGUUGUCAAGGAUGGUAAACUUUCUCCAGUGCGUGAGAUUCCAACACCAGAGUCCCCCACUGAAGAAAGUAAUGAACCAAAAAUACCCCUGCCUUCAAACACAUCACCGGCCAGUACUCUCAAGAAGAGUACUGGCUGGUUUUCUCGUCUGUUCAACACGCUCAAUAGAGCCCUGGACAGUGACAUUCACAGACUUGACUAUACAGUGACAAACCCACCCGUCUGGACAAACCCUGUUCUGUAA